This 122-nucleotide small nucleolar RNA is filed under the name Octodon degus (degu). RNAcentral's name for it is "Small nucleolar RNA SNORA70 (ENSODEG00000021692.1)". It matches the Rfam family "Small nucleolar RNA SNORA70". Rfam says of the family: snoRNA U70 seems to be exclusive to mammals and is a member of the H/ACA class of snoRNA which contain H (ANANNA) and ACA box motifs. H/ACA box snoRNAs are involved in the conversion of uridines to pseudouridines (5-ribosyluracil) a constituent of structural RNAs (transfer, ribosomal, small nuclear, and small nucleolar). The record is from Rfam by way of RNAcentral. Lineage: Eukaryota; Metazoa; Chordata; Mammalia; Rodentia; Octodontidae.
UUUCAAAGAAAAACAUAAACUGGUGGGUGCCCAGUGUGCAGUGGCUGCACACAGUAACCUCCUCGGUAGUGUAUGCAGCCUGCUGCUUGUAUAGGCUGCCCUAAGGGACCUUGGAGACACUC